GUGAGGAAUAUUGGUCAAUGGGCGGGAGCCUGAACCAGCCAAGUCGCGUGAAGGAAGAAGGAUCUAUGGUUCGUAAACUUCUUUUGCAGGGGAAUAAAGUGCAGGACGUGUCCUGUUUUGUAUGUACCCUGAGAAUAAGGAUCGGCUAACUCCGUGCCAGCAGCCGCGGUAAUACGGAGGAUCCGAGCGUUAUCCGGAUUUAUUGGGUUUAAAGGGUGCGUAGGUGGUUUGAUAAGUCAGCGGUGAAAGUUUGCAGCUUAACUGUAAAAAUGCCGUUGAAACUGUCGGACUUGAGUGUAAAUGAGGUAGGCGGAAUGCGUGGUGUAGCGGUGAAAUGCAUAGAUAUCACGCAGAACUCCGAUUGCGAAGGCAGCUUACUAAGCUACAACUGACACUGAAGCACGAAAGCGUGGGGAGCAAACAGGAUUAGAAACCCGUGUAGUCC
RNAcentral lists this ribosomal RNA (445 nucleotides) under uncultured bacterium. RNAcentral describes it as "partial 16S ribosomal RNA". It matches the Rfam family "Bacterial small subunit ribosomal RNA", at positions 354 to 796 of the family's 1533-position model. The record is from RNAcentral.